UACGGGGGGAGCAAGCGUUGUUCGGAUUUACUGGGCGUAAAGGGCGCGUAGGCGGCCACCGCAAGUCGACUGUGAAAUCUCCGGGCUUAACCCGGAAAGGUCAGCCGAUACUGCGGGGCUAGAGUGCAGAAGGGGCAACUGGAAUUCUCGGUGUAGCGGUGAAAUGCGCAGAUAUCAGGAGGAACACCGGUGGCGAAGGCGGGUCUCUGGGCAACAACUGACGCUGAGGAGCGAAAGCGUGGGGAGCGAACAGG
This 254-nucleotide ribosomal RNA is filed under the name uncultured bacterium. RNAcentral describes it as "partial 16S ribosomal RNA". It matches the Rfam family "Bacterial small subunit ribosomal RNA", at positions 524 to 776 of the family's 1533-position model. The record is from RNAcentral.